AUUGAACGCUGGCGGCAUGCUUUACACAUGCAAGUCGAACGGUAACAGGCCGCAAGGUGCUGACGAGUGGCGCACGGGUGAGUAAUGCAUCGGAACGUGCCCAGUCGUGGGGGAUAACUACUCGAAAGAGUAGCUAAUACCGCAUACGAUCUAUGGAUGAAAGCGGGGACCGUAAGGCCUCGCGCGAUUGGAGCGGCCGAUGUCAGAUUAGGUAGUUGGUGGGGUAAAGGCUCACCAAGCCAACGAUCUGUAGCUGGUCUGAGAGGACGACCAGCCACACUGGGACUGAGACACGGCCCAGACUCCUACGGGAGGCAGCAGUGGGGAAUUUUGGACAAUGGGCGCAAGCCUGAUCCAGCAAUGCCGCGUGCAGGAAGAAGGCCUUCGGGUUGUAAACUGCUUUUGUACGGAACGAAACGGCUCUGGUUAAUACCCGGGGCUAAUGACGGUACCGUAAGAAUAAGCACCGGCUAACUACGUG
RNAcentral lists this ribosomal RNA (481 nucleotides) under uncultured bacterium. RNAcentral describes it as "partial 16S ribosomal RNA". It matches the Rfam family "Bacterial small subunit ribosomal RNA", at positions 30 to 507 of the family's 1533-position model. The record is from RNAcentral.